AUGGACAAGGCAUUCCGGUACAUCGCCGACAACGGCGGGGCGGCCACCGAGGACGCCUACCCGUACACGGCCCAGCAGGCCUCCUCCUGCAACACCGGGGCGCCCCGCGUGGUCACCAUCGACGGGUACGAGGACGUGCCGGCCAACAACGAGAAGGCGCUAAGGAAGGCUGUGGCCGCACAGCCGGUGUCCGUGGCCGUCGACGCGGGCAGGUUUCAGUUUCAUUCGGAGGGGGUGUUCGCCGGGGAGUGCGGGACCGAGCUGGACCAUGGCGUUGCGGUGGUGGGGUAUGGCGCCACCGUAGACGGCACCAAGUACUGGGUCGUGAAGAACUCGUGGGGUGAGGAGUGGGGCGAGAUGGGAUACAUCCGCAUGGAGCGCGACGUCAAGGAUAAGAAGGGCCUAUGCGGGAUCGCCAUGGGCGCUUCCUACCCGGUCAAGACCUCGCCCAACCCUCAGUCUGUCCAUGACGAACUCUGA
RNAcentral lists this ribosomal RNA (480 nucleotides) under Triticum aestivum (bread wheat). RNAcentral describes it as "partial small subunit ribosomal RNA". Lineage: Eukaryota; Viridiplantae; Streptophyta; Magnoliopsida; Poales; Poaceae. The record is from RNAcentral.